Molecule: long non-coding RNA, 4666 nt
Organism: Anolis carolinensis (green anole)
Lineage: Eukaryota; Metazoa; Chordata; Lepidosauria; Squamata; Anolidae
Source: Ensembl
AUGGGCGGGGCCUCCCUUCCUCUCUCAGUCUACCUCUGGAGUCCCCCGCCGGCGCAUCGCCUCGCGCCCCAACCCCGCCUUCCCUCUUCUCUUUCUCUCUUCACCCCUUCCCUCCCCCUUCAUCUUGCCCAUAGCGGACAUGCUACGGGAAAUGACGCACCACAUAGGCGAGCAACCUAUGGCGAGGGAGAACGAAGCCAGACAGCCAAUCGGACGCCGACAUGUGGGCGGGGUUAUCACGAGACCUCCAGGUCCCUCAUCUCCCCGACUUCCCCUCCCCUUUCCUCUCCGCCAUGGAAUCUCCCUCCCGUUUCAAGACGCUCUGGCCGUUACCUGAGCGGGAGCCAGCGUCUCUCGCGCGCCGCUCGAAAGGACCCGGAUGGAGUCGUCUCUGGCGGCAUCAGGAGAGGCUGAGGAUGGAGAUACUGCUCCUGCAGCAGCGCUACCGCCUUUCGCCGCAUUGGAUCACGGGAAGGAGGGGGAAGAACCGCUCUCGCUUCAUGCCCCUCCCAUCUUCCUGAAGCGGGGAAGCUCAGCCUUUCCGCCGUCUGACGAGGGCCGUGACCUGUCCGUCACCGACAGUUCUCUGCAGUCAUUGGAGCACACUGGCAACAGCCCCGCCUCCAUAGAACAGCCUCUUUUCUGAUUGGGCGGGUUGCCAUGUCAACCUGACAAGUCCCCACCUCAAAUUGUAUGGACUUCGCGUUUCUCCUGCUGCUAAGAAAGCCAACUAGAUUUUGGCCUGCAUCAAUAGGGGUAUAACGUCUAGAUCCAGGGAAGUCAUGCUCCUCCUCUACUCUGCCUUGGUCAGGCCACACCUGGAGUACUGUGUCCAAUUCUGGGCACCGCAAUUGAAGGGAGAUGUUGACAAGCUGGAAAGCGUCCAGAGGAGGGCAACUAAAAUGAUCAAAGGUCUGGAGAACAAGCCCUAUGAGGAGCGGCUUAAAGAGCUGGCCAUGUUUAGCCUGCAGAAGAGAAGGCUGAGAUGAGACAUGAUAGCCAUGUACAAAUAUGUGAGGGGAAGUCAUAGGGAGGAGGGAGCAAGCUUGUUUUCUGCUGCCCUGCAGACUAGGACGCGAAACAAUGGCUUCAAACUACAGGAAAGGAGAUUCCACCUGAACAUCAGGAAGAACUUCCUCACUGUGAGGGCUGUUCAGCAGUGAAACUCUCCCCCAGACUGUGGUGGAGGCUCCUUCCUUGGAGGCUUUUAAGCAGAGGCUGGAUGGCCAUCUGUCGGGGGUGCUUUGAAUGCGAUUUCCUGCUUCUUGGCAGGGGGUUGGACUAGAUGGCCCACGAGGUCUCUUCCAACUCUACUAUUCUAUGAUUCUAUGAUAGGAGUGGCCAAAUAUUUAUUCUUACUUUUUGCAAACCAUGUGAUUUUACUGUCUACAGCUGUUGCUCUUCUCGUGCAUGAAAUCUCAAGUUUGCAUUAAAUACAUAGAAAAGAAGAAGUUGAUGUGAGGAUACACAAGCUGUUAUGACUGGCUUCCUUCAACCUUGAUGCCAAGGGAACUCCCACACCACACAUCAGUUCCCCUAUUUUUCCUUCUUCCGCCAAUGGCAUGACUCUUCGUGAAAUUACAAUACAAUUAAGCAUAAUUACAAUCUGAUUCUGAGAUAUGAAUCAUACUCUUAGGCCCCUUCCACACAGCUAUAUCAAAUCCACAUUGAACUGGAUUAUAUGGCAAUGUAGACUCAGAUAAUCCAGUUCAAAGCAGAUAUUGUGGAUUAUCUACCUUGAUAUUCUGGGUUAUAUGGUUAUGUGGAAGGCCCCUUAAUUCCACCUUUGUUGGUUUCUGGCUUUAAGUUAUUUGUAACAUACGCUGGUCAUAAUACAAACCCAUUAGAGUUUUUGUGACAAAAUCAUAAUAAGUAGUAUAGCAAAAUUAGUAAACUGUUUCUGGGGAGGGGGAAGGGAGAAAAAGGGGAAAUGACGUAAAACUGGUCACAGGAUGAUGAAGAAAACAAAAUGAGUAAUGUCUCGUAAACACCAAAGCAGCUAAAUAGUUUAAAGAGCAAAAUUCAGUGCGGCAGUCUGUAACUCAAAGUUAUAUCUGCAAAUCUUGUAAGAGGUGCCCUGGAAAGGGCUUGGGUAACGUAGAAAAGCAUACCCUUUAGUUUCACUUACUUUCGAAAACCUUAGGCUGAUUGUUAUGUAUAAGAUUAAUGAGACUUUUAGUUACAGUCAAUUUUUAUUGUGUUUAAACUACAGAACUGCUGAAGAAACCACGAAAAAAUGAUUAUAUGCUUGACCAUAUUGAGGUAUAAUUAUUCAAUAGUAUUCCUGUACCUUUGUACUUGUCAAGUGAAUUAAAAAAACAAAAACAAGAUUUGUUCUGAAGAGGUUUCCCCUUGCCUUGUGACUUUACAAUAACUUCUAAUACAUUUGGCACUGCUGAUUAUGGGAUGUUGGAUCACUACUGCAGAAAAAUUCAGGACUAAAAUGCUGCAUGUUUAAUUCAUUGAUUUUUGUCAGCAACCUCUCUAUCAUGUGAAAAGGUUUGGAUAUAAAGAAAAAGCCAAUUAUAACAUUGAUUAUAGUCCAGAAAUAUAGAUUUAGGUGUGGAGAUUUUGGAAUGAGACCGGAAUUCAGAGUACCUAAUCUAAAAACUGGAUUAGGCUCAGGAUCUGGUGAUCUGUGUGGAAGAACUGUCUGUAGUUCCGUUGUCAUGGGCUGAUCACUACCUGAUGGGUUUUAGGGCCCUUCCAGACAGGCCCUAUAUCCCAGGAUAUGAUCCCAGGUUUUCUGCUUAAAACUGGAUUAUAUGAGUCCGCACUGCCAGAUAAUCUGGGAUGAACAGAAAACCUGGAAUCACAUCCUGGGAUAUAGGGUCUGUCUGGAAGGGCCCUUAGAUUCACUGGGACUAGUAUCUGCACAUGUAGCGGGCCUAUUAAGUCCCAGGAGACUUACAGAUCCGGAUGGAUUCCUGGUGUCUCUUGGUGAAUUUUCUGUUGAAGCCCUGCCAGAUCUCUGGAAUACAAAAAUGUCCAAGCACAUGAUUGCCCCUAUGUGUCCCUUCCUUAGCUCCCACAAAAUGAAGCUAAGCAGGCCUCCUGGUUUGCUAGGAGUGAGAUGAAAUGGGUGGACAGAAGACUACAGUGACUGCUAUGGCCAGCAGUCUGUCUGACCUGCCUCAGCUACUGUUGCAGAAGCAGAUACUUCCCAGUAUUUUCAGCAACCUCAAAGGGUUAAUCAUACCUCAUUCUAUGAAACAGAGUUUCCCAAACUGUACUCCAGAUUUCAACUCCCACAAGUCCUAACAGCUGGUAAACUGGUUGGGAUUUCUGGGAGCUGAAGUCCAAAACACCUGGAAGAGCACCGUUUGAGAAACAUUGCUUUGAAACAAGGAAAGUAUUGCAGGCUUCAGUGAUUAGAGUUGGAGGCUUGAUGAGACAAGCUCUAGCUGAGACUUCUAAAUAAUGAAGCUUCUGUGGAGUAGCUUUGGAUAGCAGACAACUUUGUAUUCUGCAGCCCUUCCAUUUUUACAGUAUUCCUGAAUUUUGACUUCCAGUUGGACUCCUGGCUUAUGACUUCUGGACUCUGAAUUUGGCUUUAUUUUCAAGAAAUCCUGGCAUUUGACCUUGGCUACCUUUGUUGUAUUCUUGCACUGCACUUUUUGUAUGUUGUGCUACUUUUUGGACACUCAGCAUUUCAGACCCUGGAUUGUGGGCUUGAUUUUGCUAAUUAGACUCUGAACUCGCCUUGGCUCACUCUUAUCAGUUUGUGUUUGUAUUUUUAAGGACUUAAGAAUUUGGGUUUCUUUGUUAAUGAACUCUGGUCUUUAGCUUAUCCUUUUAUUAUGUGUUUAAACUUCAGCCCUGAUAUCGGGNNNNNNNNNNNNNNNNNNNNNNNNNNNNNNNNNNNNNNNNNNNNNNNNNNNNNNNNNNNNNNNNNNNNNNNNNNNNNNNNNNNNNNNNNNNNNNNNNNNNNNNAACAUAGGCUCUAGCGUAUUGGGAAACUUGUGCCAUGGCAUUAGUAUUGUAUCUACGCCACAGCCUGGUAGUGGAACCUGGUUGUGGCACAGCUGGUUAGUAGCCAGCUGCAAUAAAUCACUACUGACUGAGAGGUCAUGGGUUCGAAGCCAUUCUGGGUCGGAGUGAGCUCCCUACCAUUAAAUAGUCUAGCUUGCUGUUGACCUAUGCAGCUUGAAAGACAGUUGCAUCCGCCGAGUAGGAAAUUUAGGUACCGCUUUAUGCAUUUGACUAAUUUACAACACCAUAAAACCUUCCAGCAGCAUGCAGAAGAAUGAGGAAGUACUCCAUCAAGGACUCGGUGUGACAAGUGGACGAUGAAGUGGCCGGAAUCGAGCAUACCCUCAUGAAGCUGGAAGCUGGAAUGUUAAAUUGCCUCUGUGUCUGUCUAUAUAUGUUGUAUGUCUAAUGACACUGAAUGUUUGCUAUAUAUAUGUGCAUUGAGAUCUGCCCUGAGUCCCCUUCGGGGUGAGAAGAGCAGAAUAUAAAUACUAUAAAUGAAUAAAUACAUAAAUACACAAAUCUGUUCAGUAUCAUCCAAUAGAGCUGUUUCAAAUGGUUAGGUGCUCAGAAGAAAACUACUUGAAAGCCAGCUGUGAUUAAUUGCAAGACAUUUUGUAUAUAAAAUAUCACUCAGAUUGUGGUGCCUGCUUGUCCAUCUAGGAUAAAUGUCAGUUUGUACAAUGUGAGGAUG